This is a long non-coding RNA of Sapajus apella (tufted capuchin), 101 nucleotides long. RefSeq lists it as uncharacterized. The transcript has 3 exons. The record is from RefSeq and is a predicted model, not a curated record. Lineage: Eukaryota; Metazoa; Chordata; Mammalia; Primates; Cebidae.
AUUACAGCGCACUAUAGCCUCAAAACUCCUGGGGUCAAGAAAUCUUCCUACCUCACCCUCCUGAAUUGCUGGGAUUACAGGCUUGAGCCACCACGCCUGGC